GGAGGAAAGCAGGGGAUCGCAAGACCUUGCGCUUUUGGAGCGGCCGAUGCCUGAUUAGCUUGUUGGUGAGGUAAAAGCUCACCAAGGCUCCGAUCAGUAGCUGGUCUGAGAGGACGACCAGCCACACUGGGACUGAGACACGGCCCAGACUCCUACGGGAGGCAGCAGUGGGGAAUUUUGGACAAUGGGGGCAACCCUGAUCCAGCCAUGCCGCGUGAGUGAAGAAGGCCUUCGGGUUGUAAAGCUCUUUCAGCCGGAACGAAACGGUCACGGUUAAUACCCGUGACUACUGACGGUACCGAAAGAAGAAGCACCGGCUAACUACGUGCCAGCAGCCGCGGUAAUACGUAGGGUGCGAGCGUUAAUCGGAAUUACUGGGCGUAAAGCGUGCGCAGGCGGUUUUGUAAGUCAGAUGUGAAAUCCCCGGGCUUAACCUGGGAACUGCGUUUGAAACUACAAAGCUAG
This 465-nucleotide ribosomal RNA is filed under the name uncultured bacterium. RNAcentral's name for it is "bacterial SSU rRNA". It matches the Rfam family "Bacterial small subunit ribosomal RNA", at positions 198 to 644 of the family's 1533-position model. The record is from RNAcentral.